This 392-nucleotide RNase P RNA is filed under the name Paenibacillus antibioticophila. RNAcentral's name for it is "Bacterial RNase P class A". It matches the Rfam family "Bacterial RNase P class A". From Rfam's summary of the family: Ribonuclease P (RNase P) is a ubiquitous endoribonuclease, found in archaea, bacteria and eukarya as well as chloroplasts and mitochondria. Its best characterised activity is the generation of mature 5'-ends of tRNAs by cleaving the 5'-leader elements of precursor-tRNAs. The record is from RNAcentral. Lineage: Bacteria; Bacillati; Bacillota; Bacilli; Caryophanales; Paenibacillaceae.
UUUGACAGACAAUCGCCGGCGGCCUUGUUGCCGCGGGAGGAAAGUCCGGGCUCCAUAGGGCAGGGUGCUGGAUAACGUCCAGUCGGCGCGAGCCGAAGGAUAGUGCCACAGAAAUGGACCGCCGAUGGCCGCAAGCAAUUGCGGAUCAGGCAAGGAUGGAACCGAGGUGUAAGAGACCCCGAGGAACGCUGGUGACUUCGUUCCUGGUAAACCCCAUCUGGAGCAAGACCUAAUGGGACGCAGCUUCCUUCGUGAAGCAGCCUUUGCCCGAGGCGCGUCCGGGUUGGUCGCUGGAGCCGUCCAGUAAUGUACGGCCUAGAUAGAUGAUUGUCACUCCAAGCGGGAGGGUUGUUCCCGUGAUUACCGCCAAGAGUACAGAACCCGGCUUACGG